AUGACCUGUGGGGAGGAGUAAAAGUCUAAUCAAACUCAGAGAUAUCUGGUUCUCCCCGAAAAUGCUCUAGGGCAUGCCUCUGGCAACUACAUCAUGGGGGUAGAGCUACUGAAUGGAUCGAGGGGGCUUCCCGCCUACCUCCUCCAAUCAAACUCCGAAUACCAUGAUGACUAUCCAGGGAGAAAGACUACGGGUGACAACGUCCGUGGUCAAAAGGGAAACAACCCAGACCACCGGCUAAGGCCCCCAAUUUAACCUGAGUGCAUAAGGAAGUUGGGUUUCUGUGACAGCGGGGAUGUUGGCUUAGAAGCAGCCACCAUUUAAAAAGUGCG
This 332-nucleotide ribosomal RNA is filed under the name uncultured Symbiodinium. Its description in RNAcentral is "partial Bacterial large subunit ribosomal RNA". It matches the Rfam family "Bacterial large subunit ribosomal RNA", at positions 804 to 1134 of the family's 2925-position model. Lineage: Eukaryota; Dinophyceae; Suessiales; Symbiodiniaceae. The record is from RNAcentral.